This 422-nucleotide ribosomal RNA is filed under the name uncultured bacterium. RNAcentral describes it as "partial 16S ribosomal RNA". It matches the Rfam family "Bacterial small subunit ribosomal RNA", at positions 356 to 769 of the family's 1533-position model. The record is from RNAcentral.
UGGGAAUUUUGGACAAUUGGGCGAAAGCCUGAUCCAGCAAUGCCGCGUGUGUGAAGAAGGCCUUCGGGUUGUAAAGCACUUUUGUCCGGAAAGAAAUCCUUGGCUCUAAUACAGUCGGGGGAUGACGGUACCGGAAGAAUAAGCACCGGCUAACUACGUGCCAGCAGCCGCGGUAAUACGUAGGGUGCAAGCGUUAAUCGGAAUUACUGGGCGUAAAGCGUGCGCAGGCGGUUUGCUAAGACCGAUGUGAAAUCCCCGGGCUCAACCUGGGAACUGCAUUGGUGACUGGCAGGCUAGAGUAUGGCAGAGGGGGGUAGAAUUCCACGUGUAGCAGUGAAAUGCGUAGAGAUGUGGAGGAAUACCGAUGGCGAAGGCAGCCCCCUGGGCCAAUACUGACGCUCAUGCACGAAAGCGUGGGGAGC